Molecule: long non-coding RNA, 2383 nt
Organism: Erigeron canadensis
Lineage: Eukaryota; Viridiplantae; Streptophyta; Magnoliopsida; Asterales; Asteraceae
Exons: 4
Source: RefSeq, a predicted model, not a curated record
UCAACCCGUGACCUCCUGAAUCUCGUGAACCCCAAAUUUAGGAAACAAUAACCCCAAAUUUGUUCCCAAUCAGUAUAGAGAGAGGGAUUAGUAACCCAGAAUUCUUUCCGGCUUCCUACAUAUUGAAAUCCCUAAAUUUGGAUUUAGGGUUUUAAAUUAAAUGGAUGAAAUCGAUAUAUAUUCAUCAGAUCGUGGCUUUCAUUCAAACUUUUAUUAUAUCCACUAUCAAUUUCAAGAGAUCUGAUCCUUUCAUCGAGGUUCAAAGUCUAUAUCCGUGUCGUGAAUGAUAGUGGGUUGACACCGUUCAUAUUAUUUGACAACCAUGUCAUAACACUAAUUUGAAUGAGUGCACAUGAUCUUAGGAAAGGAUAAAUAGAAGAUCCUGGUAUAAUCCCUGAUGAGCUCAACGAAAUUGUGGGUAGAUCUUUCCUGUUCAAGUUCCUGAUUGAAACUUAUAAUAGGGACGGAAAUUUUCAUUACUAUACUGUCGUCGCAUUCACCGAUGAUACUUAGACUAUUGUGGCUUUCAAUAAGGCCUUUAAUGUCGACACAAUAUAAGCAUUCUGCCAACAUGAUAUUGUUAUAAAUAGUGUUCCAUUAUUUAUUUUUUAGUAUUCUAUUGCUGAGUUAUGGUCUAUCCUGUAGCCGACACAUAUACACUUCCCCAGAAUUCUAACUACAUUGGAGUUGGACGCAGCUCUGUCAAGGUUUACUCUCCAUGUAUUUAUAUAUUCUAAAUGUUAUCCUGUAGUUAUACGUGUAUCAAUAAAAAAAUUAGUUCAGGUCUAUACCUCAAGCUCAUAUGCAGAUGUUUACUUACGGAUGUUUUAACUACUUUGGUUUUAGAAUGGAAACCUCCUAUGAGGAUACCAAAUGCCUAACGAGUAUAAAACCUUGGUCAUCGUGAUUGGCUUGAUUUUCAUCCAUGCUAUACUUUGAUGGUGUUCUCCAUUGUAAUUUUUUUUAAGAGUAUAACCCGAUGGAACCUUAAAUCUCUAUAUAAAGUUAUUCAUAUUUUGUUUAAUCCAUACAUCUAUAGGUUCCCGUUCUGUCAGUCACCUCCAGUCACUUAAGAGAUGUCACGAAUUCAUUUUCUCAAACAAAUCUAUAUGUGUCGUCCAUAAACAAUCUCAAACUCCGAAUUAUGGAGACCAUACAUUUCAGACAAGAAGAUUGGCGUACAUCAAUUCUGGAUAUCACAGAUUAAGCCAUCGGUAAUAGUUAUGAAAAAUCCUACCCUUUAAUGACUCCAUCAUCUACAUUCGACAAAGGCAAAGCCGCAAAGGCAUAGCUAUUGAUAUCACAGGUUGCGUUUAGAAAUCCUCACAUCGGUAUGUUUACUCCUUUAGUAACCGACUAUUAUACUUACUGAUAUUUUUUUUUAUUACGUUACCUUUCGUUAUAUGAUCAAUCGAAUAUUAGUCAUGCUUAAAAUAUAGUAUUAUCCUGUUAUGUCGUUCCUGUAUAGGUUCCCGAAGUGACAGUCACCUAAAACCUCUUACAGAUGUCACAAAUAUGUCAUAUGAAGCAAAUGUAACAGUAUUGCGCACACACAAUACUCAAACUCCGGUACCUACAGACCAUACGUUACAAUCAAGGAUAAGUAUCGUGCAUCUUUAAGGGAUAAAUCUUCAAAUGAGAAUAUGACUUCUAAAACUAGUGGUACGAAACCCAUUAAUAUUUAUGCUAAAUUGUACCCUACGAUUGCUCCAGACUCAAGAUUAGACAAACGAAAACGUAACUGGUAUAAUGCCACAAAUUCUCACUCCGGGCUUACACAUUUGUCUCAUAAUUUUUCCGAAGUUGAUCAGAAAGGGUUGUAGUGUCACCAUUCCCAUAUGGAUCAACUUAGUAUGACCAAACACAGCCGGUUACGACGAUUUCAUCUGCAAAGGUAGCAAAGGAAAAACAAAAACCAAAUCUUUGCUAGCCCCCGAAGGGAACUCCAUAUGUUACGUGUGUGACUUCCGUUUUAAUGUUAAAUUCUUUUUACUAUUAAAUCAUAUAAUAACUCUAUUAUAACAUUAUUUGUUAGGAUUUUAUAUCCAUUGUGGGUGAUACUUUAAGCACUGUGGAAAGUCUUCAUAGUAAUCGCCCCCAAGUGAAAUUGAAGAUGAUCCUGAAUCUAUAAGUGUUUGCUGAACAAGUUGUAAAGGCGAUUACUUCGUAUCGAUAUAGAUGACGAGUAGUAUGAAGGGACGAGGAGUAGUAACUUGUGUUGGAGUAGUUGGUUAAUUGAAUCAUGCUUUUGUUUUCCAUUUAGAUUUGGAUUUUUUUCGACCUCGAUUUUGAUGUCAUGUUUUGACAUCCGAUAUUUUGUUGAUGUUAAUGUUUUUGACAAUCGUUUUAUGUGGGUGGAAUAAAUAUGUUUGUUUUUGUUCCA